RNAcentral lists this transfer RNA (72 nucleotides) under Camelus bactrianus (Bactrian camel). It matches the Rfam family "tRNA". From Rfam's summary of the family: Transfer RNA (tRNA) molecules are approximately 80 nucleotides in length. The record is from Rfam by way of RNAcentral. RNAcentral also lists the same sequence under 2 other names. Lineage: Eukaryota; Metazoa; Chordata; Mammalia; Artiodactyla; Camelidae.
AGGGGUAUAGCUCAAUGGUAGAGCACAUGCUUAGUAUACAUCCGGUCCUGGGUUCAAUCCCCAGUACCUCCG